Molecule: transfer RNA, 73 nt
Filed under: Umbilicaria muhlenbergii
Lineage: Eukaryota; Fungi; Ascomycota; Lecanoromycetes; Umbilicariales; Umbilicariaceae
Description: tRNA-His (ATG) (tRNA-His-ATG-1-1)
Rfam family: tRNA
About the family: Transfer RNA (tRNA) molecules are approximately 80 nucleotides in length.
Source: RNAcentral
GCCCACAUAGCUCAGUUGGUAGAGCGCGUCAGUAUGUAUGACGAGGUCGCCAGUUCGACUCUGUCUGUGGGCA